Molecule: ribosomal RNA, 492 nt
Filed under: uncultured bacterium
Lineage: Bacteria
Description: partial 16S ribosomal RNA
Rfam family: Bacterial small subunit ribosomal RNA
Source: RNAcentral
AGUGAACGCUGGCGGUAGGCCUAACACAUGCAAGUCGAACGGCAGCACAGUAAGAGCUUGCCCUUACGGGUGGCGAGUGGCGGACGGGUGAGGAAUACAUCGGAAUCUACUUUUUCGUGGGGGAUAACGUAGGGAAACUUACGCUAAUACCGCAUAUGACCUGCGGGUGAUAGCACAGGAUCUUCAGACCUUGCGCGAUUGAAUGAGACGAUGUCGGAUUAGCUAGUUGGCGGGGUAAAGGCCCACCAAGGCGACGAUCCGUAGCUGGUCUGAGAGGAUGAUCAGCCACACUGGAACUGAGACACGGUCCAGACUCCUACGGGAGGCAGCAGUGGGGAAUAUUGGACAAUGGGCGCAAGCCUGAUCCAGCCAUACCGCGUGAGUGAAGAAGGUCUUCGGAUUGUAAAGCCCUUUUGUUAGGAAAGAAAAGCAGCAGGUUAAUACCCCGCUGUUCUGACGGUACCCAAAGAAUAAGCACCGGCUAACUUCGUG